ACCCAUUCUGUCGUCUUUGACGACGACGACGAGUCGUCCGCCUGCUUCUUCUUUUCAGUGCCGCCGCCGGAAGCAGCAGCAGCACCGGUCGGCGACACUGGCGCCGGUGCCGGACUGUCAGCCUCGCCGUCUUCCGCUGCCAUGCGGUACUGCGUCCUAAUCUCCUCCAGCCGCGACAAGGCCAACCCCAUAUUGCUUCCCGAUAUCGUCGUCGAUCGAUGUGCUGUGCAACAACG
Molecule: long non-coding RNA, 236 nt
Filed under: Zea mays
Lineage: Eukaryota; Viridiplantae; Streptophyta; Magnoliopsida; Poales; Poaceae
Description: long non-coding RNA (ZMAY_LNC004680)
Source: RNAcentral